RNAcentral lists this ribosomal RNA (532 nucleotides) under Prymnesium parvum. RNAcentral's name for it is "partial Bacterial small subunit ribosomal RNA". It matches the Rfam family "Bacterial small subunit ribosomal RNA", at positions 1 to 525 of the family's 1533-position model. The record is from RNAcentral. Lineage: Eukaryota; Haptophyta; Prymnesiales; Prymnesiaceae.
UACGGAGAGUUUGAUUCUGGCUCAGGACGAACGCUGGCGGCGUGCUUAACACAUGCAAGUCGAACGGAAAGGCCCUGCUUUUGUGGGGUGCUCGAGUGGCGAACGGGUGAGUAACACGUGAGUAACCUGCCCUUGACUCUGGGAUAACCGCGGGAAACGGCGGCUAAUACCGGAUAUGAGACGUACAGGCAUCUGUUGCGUCUGGAAAGAUUUAUCGGUCAAGGAUGGGCUCGCGGCCUAUCAGCUAGUUGGUGAGGUAACGGCUCACCAAGGCGACGAUACAUAGCCGACCUGAGAGGGUGAUCGGCCACACUGGAACUGAGACACGGCCCAGACUCCUACGGGAGGCAGCAGUGGGGAAUAUUGGACAAUGGGCGAAAGCCUGAUCCAGCCAUGCCGCGUGUGUGAAGAAGGUCUUCGGAUUGUAAAGCACUUUAAGUUGGGAGGAAGGGCAUUAACCUAAUACGUUAGUGUUUUGACGUUACCGACGGAAUAAGCACCGGCUAACUUCGUGCCAGCAGCCGCGGUAAUA